GAGUUUGAUCCUGGCUCAGGACGAACGCUGGCGGCACGCCUAACACAUGCAAGUCGAACGGAGAUAUUUUGGUUUACUGAGAUAUCUUAGUGGCGGACGGGUGAGUAACACGUGAGCAACCUGCCUCUGAGAGAGGGAUAGCUUCUGGAAACGGAUGGUAAUACCUCAUAACAUAACGAAGCCGCAUGACUUUGUUAUCAAGGAUUUAUCACUCAGAGAUGGGCUCGCGUCUGAUUAGAUAGUUGGUGAGGUAACGGCCCACCAAGUCGACGAUCAGUAGCCGGACUGAGAGGUUGAACGGCCACAUUGGGACUGAGACACGGCCCAGACUCCUACGGGAGGCAGCAGUGGGGAAUAUUGCACAAUGGGGGAAACCCUGAUGCAGCGAUGCCGCGUGGAGGAAGAAGGUUUUCGGAUUGUAAACUCCUGUCUUAAAGGACGAUAAUGACGGUACUUUAGAGAU
Molecule: ribosomal RNA, 463 nt
Filed under: uncultured Bacillota bacterium
Lineage: Bacteria; Bacillati; Bacillota
Description: bacterial SSU rRNA
Rfam family: Bacterial small subunit ribosomal RNA
Source: RNAcentral